GGUUGCGGUCAUACCAGCACUAAUGCACCGGAUCCCAUCAGAACUCCGCAGUUAAGCGUGCUUGGGCGAGAGUAGUACUAGGAUGGGUGACCCCCUGGGAAGUCCUCGUGUUGCAACCC
RNAcentral lists this ribosomal RNA (119 nucleotides) under Helianthus annuus (common sunflower). The record is from RNAcentral. Lineage: Eukaryota; Viridiplantae; Streptophyta; Magnoliopsida; Asterales; Asteraceae.